UCGCUGAGUGUAAAGAGGCUCUGAGACUAGAGUUUGAGAACAUCUACCUAAGGAAGAGCUUACGAAUUCCAAUACCAUGGCAGGAAUGGCGAUCCUUAGAGAAGAUGGAUUCAUUUCAGGGACAUGAUAACUGUAAAAAGAUCAACUCUUCCUCUCUGAACCAACAGCCUGUGUCUACUCCCAAGUGCAAGUGUCCUGAGAGAGGUAUGGCUGCAUGCCUGCCAGGGAGUUUCCUUCCUUUACUUCACAGCACUGUUUGUUCACAUUUUCUUCCUUAUUGACUCGAACACAAGGACACCGCCUACCUCAUGUCUUCCUUCUUCCCGUGGAUGUCCAGAUGAAGCACUCCACACUCCUUUGAGCGAGAUAAACAGGGAAGAUGUGUGCUUAGUCCAGAGGUUUAAUCAAGAAAUGAAAGCAGAGACAAUAAAGUUUUGGUCUUGGUUCUCCUGUUGGCUUCAGAAUGAACAUAAUUAAGAUGAUUAACGAUCAACCCAGGCCUGAAAAAUGAGUAACUGUAGGUCAUGUUGCCAUGAAGUUACGAAGAAAAAGAACUCUUCAGAGGUGUAUACAUGUUCCUGGCCACUCUGCUUCUUAGGGUGGAGUUAGAGGACUCCCCGCCCUCCUUGCCUGCGAAGGAGGAGGCGUGGCCACACAGAUAAAGCUGGUCUGAAAAGAGCACGGCUUUAUUUGUUCUGGGGCCAGGAACCUGUGGAUUGGAUAAUUCUGCGUUGCGGCAGCAUUGUCAACUGAUGGACCCACCAGUUUCUGAAUCAUGCUAAUGGAUUACUGUCAACUUGCUGGAGCUUUGAAGAAGGGCUUCAGAAGCUGAUGGCAUAGUUAUGAGAGGGGUGAAGACCGUGACUGCAUUUCCAACAGACCCUGAGGACAAUUGGGAAGAAUGUGCUGAAUAU
This 914-nucleotide non-coding RNA is filed under the name Pongo abelii (Sumatran orangutan). The record is from RNAcentral. Lineage: Eukaryota; Metazoa; Chordata; Mammalia; Primates; Hominidae.